UGUCUGGAAAUGCGGUGUGUGAGACACU
RNAcentral lists this unclassified non-coding RNA (28 nucleotides) under Mus musculus (house mouse). RNAcentral's name for it is "oocyte_clustered_small_RNA1710". Lineage: Eukaryota; Metazoa; Chordata; Mammalia; Rodentia; Muridae. The record is from RNAcentral.